This 915-nucleotide ribosomal RNA is filed under the name uncultured archaeon. RNAcentral describes it as "bacterial SSU rRNA". It matches the Rfam family "Archaeal small subunit ribosomal RNA", at positions 1 to 922 of the family's 1478-position model. The record is from RNAcentral.
UUCCGGUUGAUCCCGCCGGAGGUUACUGCUAUCGAGGUUCGACUAAGCCAUGCGAGUCGAAUGCCGCAAGGCAUGGCGUACUGCUCAGUAACACGUGGACAACCUACCCUUAGGUCGGGGAUAACCCCGGGAAACUGGGUAUAAUACCCGAUAGUCCUCGAAUGCUGGAAUGCACCGAGGACGAAAGCUCCGGUGCCUAAGGAUGGGUCUGCGGCCUAUCAGGUAGUAGUGGGUGUAGCGUACCUACUAGCCUACGACGGGUACGGGUUGUGAGAGCAAGAGCCCGGAGAUGGAUUCUGAGACACGAAUCCAGGCCCUACGGGGUGCAGCAGGCGCGAAAACUUUACAAUGCUGGCAACAGCGAUAAGGGAACCUCGAGUGCCAGGUUACAAAUCUGGCUGUCGAGAUGCCUAAAAAGCAUUUCAUAGCAAGGGCCGGGCAAGACCGGUGCCAGCCGCCGCGGUAACACCGGCGGCUCGAGUGGUAACCGUUAUUAUUGGGUCUAAAGGGUCUGUAGCCGGCCGGAUAAGUCUCUUGGGAAAUCUGGCAGCUCAACUGUCAGGCUAUCAGGAGAUACUGUCUGGCUCGAGGCCGGGAGAGGUGAGAGGUACUUCAGGGGUAGGGGUGAAAUCUUGUAAUCCUUGAGGGACCACCAGUGGCGAAGGCGUCUCACCAGAACGGACCUGACGGCAAGGGACGAAAGCUAGGGGCACGAACCGGAUUAGAUACCCGGGUAGUCCUAGCCGUAAACGAUACUCGCUAGGUGUCGGCCACGGUGCGACCGUGGUCGGUGCCGUAGGGAAGCCGUGAAGCGAGCCACCUGGGAAGUACGGCCGCAAGGCUGAAACUUAAAGGAAUUGGCGGGGGAGCACCACAACGGGUGGAGCUUGCGGUUUAAAUGGAUUCAACGCCGGG